Molecule: long non-coding RNA, 533 nt
Organism: Carassius auratus (goldfish)
Lineage: Eukaryota; Metazoa; Chordata; Actinopteri; Cypriniformes; Cyprinidae
Exons: 4
Source: RefSeq, a predicted model, not a curated record
UGAGGGUGCUUGGAGAGGCUGGCAAAUAAACAGACUGGAAAGCAGCUUGCUCUGACGAGGGCCACUGCCAAUGGCUCUAAGAGAUAUCGGGACAGUGUUUGGAGGAAUACUUGGAUUGAGGAAUUGAGGCCUAAAUCAAAUCAAUGAACAAGGAUGUUUCCUCGGAAUGGGAUUGUUUGUGGAUCAUUUUUCCCUUUUCCUGGAACCUUGCAGGUGGGGUCUAGAGAUCCUUAAGAAGAGAACGUGGGUGUAAUCCUUCUGGAGCCACAAGAACUUUAAGCCAAGUCAAAAUGAAACACAAAAACAUUCUGCAAAAAGCUAACAGAAAGAAGACUGAAGCCCGUCUAACUGGCGGGGGGCCACCACCACCUCCCCUCACCCCAUCUGAGGAGCUGGCUCUGUCCCUUAAUAAAGGGCGACCAGAGGUUGCUGGCAUUCCAGGGAGCACUUCAUCACACAUACUAAGUACCACAAGUGAUGGUGAAAAAAGGGUGACAUGAUGAAGAUGAUGAUGAUGACGAUGAAGAGACCAC